CUAACUUCUUUUUCCUCUUUCAGCAAUAUGUUAUGUUGCAUGACAUGGUGGCAACUCAUAGUACCGUAAGAGUUUCAGUUUGUAGAGUAAAUGAAGAAAUAGAAGAAAUCUUUUCUACCGACCUUGUGCCAGGAGAUGUCAUGGUCAUUCCAUUAAAUGGGACAAUAAUGCCUUGUGAUGCUGUGCUUAUUAAUGGUACCUGCAUUGUAAACGAAAGCAUGUUAACAGGAGAAAGUGUUCCAGUGACAAAGACUAAUUUGCCAAAUCCUUCAGUGGAUGUGAAAGGAAUAGGAGAUGAAUUAUAUAAUCCAGAAACACAUAAACGACAUACUUUGUUUUGUGGGACAACUGUUAUUCAGACUCGUUUCUACACUGGAGAACUCGUCAAAGCCAUAGUUGUUAGAACAGGAUUUAGUACUUCCAAAGGACAGCUUGUUCGUUCCAUAUUGUAUCCCAAACCAACUGAUUUUAAACUCUACAGAGAUGCCUACUUGUUUCUACUGUGUCUUGUGGCAGUUGCUGGCAUUGGGUUUAUCUACACUAUUAUUAAUAGCAUUUUAAAUGAGGUACAAGUUGGGGUCAUAAU
RNAcentral lists this small RNA (586 nucleotides) under Pan troglodytes (chimpanzee). RNAcentral's name for it is "retained intron". Lineage: Eukaryota; Metazoa; Chordata; Mammalia; Primates; Hominidae. The record is from RNAcentral.